GUGGGGAAUAUUGGGCAAUGGGGGAAACCCUGACCCAGCAACGCCGCGUGAAGGAAGAAGGUUUUUGGAUCGUAAACUUCUAUCCUUGGUGAAAAUAAUGAUGGUAGCCAAGAAGGAAGCCCCGGCUAACUACGUGCCAGCAGCCGCGGUAAUACGUAGGGGGCAAGCGUUGUCCGGAAUGAUUGGGCGUAAAGGGCGCGUAGGCGGCCUGGUAAGUCUGGAGUGAAAGUCCUGCUUUUAAGGUGGGAAUUGCUUUGGAUACUGUCGGGCUUGAGUGCAGGAGAGGUAAGCGGAAUUCCCGGUGUAGCGGUGAAAUGCGUAGAGAUCGGGAGGAACACCAGUGGCGAAGGCGGCUUACUGGACAGAGACUGACGCUGAGGCGCGAAAGCGUGGGGAGCGAACAGGAUUAGAAACCCCUGUAGUCC
Molecule: ribosomal RNA, 425 nt
Filed under: uncultured bacterium
Lineage: Bacteria
Description: partial 16S ribosomal RNA
Rfam family: Bacterial small subunit ribosomal RNA
Source: RNAcentral